CUUAAACGUCAUAUAAUUCAUCACCCAAUAUGUACUCUUUGGUGCCUGGCUUAUUUUACUUUUUUUCAAUCAAAUAUUCAUUGAAUAAUGUGAAUGAAGCAUUGGAUUAUACAAACUCUUUAUUGUGCUAUGAACUCAAGAUCCAGUGAUGAAUAGCACUAUCAAGGACCUUGUCUUCAUGGAACUUAAAAUCUAAUGGGAGAGGUUAAAAACAAAGCAGGCAAAGAAAGUAGAUAGUGACUGUCUAGAUGCUAAAAAGGAGUCAGAAUAAUUUCAUAACCUGAUUGAAAAGUAUCACAGACUGGGUGUACUUACUUUAGAACAGUGGCCCUUCAGAACACGGCAUUUUAAACUGAUACCAGAAGGAUAAAAAUGAUAGAGGCCUGAAAAGAGUCUAAAAGGGGGUUUCCAGGUAGAAGGACAAUGAGGGCAAAAGUCAGAAGCAGGAAAGAGCCUGCUUGAAAAAUGAGCUGGUGAUGACUGAAACUUACUGAGAAAGGGGAGAGGUGAGCAAAAACUAUACUAUUCAGAGAGUUCUAGGCCAAGGUACAGAGAUCAUAUUUCAUUCUCAACAAGAAAACUUUCCAGGAUUUUUUAAGAGAAUAUGAUUCAUUUUUAUGUUUAAAAAAACCCCCAAAUCUCUGACUUUGUGUAGAAAUAGAAUCCUGUCAAAUUUGGAUUCAGAAGUGCAAAUUAUAAAACAGCUUUGACAGUCAAAGUGAAGGCUGCCAAGUAUCACCCGUGGGUCAUGCCUGGCCUGCUACAAGCUUGUGUAAAUAAAGUUUUAGUAAAACACAGCCAACAUGAUUUGCAAUGCAUUUUGCCUAUGGCUACUUUCAUGCUACAAAGGCAGUAUUGAAUGAUUGUGACAGAGACUAUAUGGCCUACAGAGAAAAAAUAUUUGCUAUCUGGUCCUUAUAGAAAAAGUCUAUCAAGCCCUAGUCUGGUUGAAAUACUAUGAUGAAUGGGACUAGGAUGAUAUCAAUGGAGAAGUAGAGUUGUGAGGAGAUUCUCUAUAUAUUUUGUAGAUACAAUUUAUAAGACAUGCUG
Molecule: long non-coding RNA, 1050 nt
Filed under: Marmota monax (woodchuck)
Lineage: Eukaryota; Metazoa; Chordata; Mammalia; Rodentia; Sciuridae
Source: RNAcentral